AACGAUCGUCUCGGGAAGAAGGUCCGGGUGAAGUGUAACGAGGACGAUACGAUUGGCGACUUGAAGAAGCUCGUCGCCGCUCAGACCGGUACCAGGGCAGAGAAAAUCAGGAUCCAAAAGUGGUACAACAUCUACAAGGAUCAUAUCACUCUCAAGGAUUACGAGAUUCACGACGGCAUGGGUCUCGAGCUCUAUUACAACUGAUCUCGUAUCGCUGUGAGUUUUUACGGCUUUUCUGUUUCUUGCUGUGUUUGAUGGCGUUGGUGUUUCGUUUUUCGUCCAGUGUUGUUUUGUUUGAUACGAUUUCUAGAACGCUUUGUUUAGUUUUCCUUGGAUUUUAGGGUUCGUUUGACGCGAUUAAGAGGGAGGCGCUUGUUUUUAGAGGUUGUAAGGAUUCAAUUCUCUCUGUCUCUAAGACGAGCGAUCAAAGAUUAACUUUCGAUGGACGUGGUACGGCGGACAUUGCAGUGUGUAAACCGCCGUGUGAAGCCUUUGUAACAUAAGGAUCUCGUUCUCUUUCCUUUUUCUAUUUUGGAGAUUUAUUUAUGGUCCAUGAAAUAUCAGAUCGGUUACUAGUUUUGAAAUCAUGGUAUUUCCUCUUAUGUAUGGGUGUUUUCUCUCUCCAAGGUUUGGAAAUCCUUUGGAAGAUACGUAGUGGGAGCGCUCAAUGCGAGUCUUAUAUUGCUGAACAGGCCUCGACAUAUAAUAUUUGGUCUGCUUAGCGAACGCUACCGGUCAAUGUUGUUUUGAUGUCUAUAGCCUGUGUGUGGAAUUAGCUACCCUGUCGAUGACAACGAGUUCUCAAGUAUUGGAAAUUUCCUUCUAAAGGGAGUUGUUUAUUUUGAGAAAUCUACUUUAAAGGAGAUUUUUGUUGUGCUCAUCUUAAUUCUCUGUUAAUUAUCUCCUUAUUGUAGGGGACUUAAUCCUUUAACCAUCUUCUUCCGCUCUUUUAAUGAGCCAGAAAUUUUAUUUUGAAGUUGGUGCUUAUUUGUGUAGCUAUGCCUUGGGCUGCCUUGUCCUAUUGGUUUUGUGCUUAAAGGGUGCCAGAAUCACGCGCAAUUUUCCAUUCCAAGCAUAGAUGUUUUAAAGUAAUUGGAAUGCUGAGAGGAGACCACCAAGUUGAUCUGACACCACACCAUCUAUCAUUUAUCGGUCAUCUGAUGGGAGUAGCAUGGGUGGAAGACGAAUUUUUUUAAGCCCUCAUGGGUUAUAAGUUGAUUGGGGUGGAUAUUGUUAGAUUGAUAGAAUUUGAGAAUUGAGCCGGGUUUGUGGUUUCCGUGAGGAUGACAUGAUGGAACAGUUGUGGAUUUCGAAAGUGAAGGAAUACGUGGGGAUUUAGGUGUCUUGUGGCAUUGCGCAAGAGCUUUGCUUUUGGCCUCCCUCAGUAAGAUGCAGUAUCUGCUAUUUACUCUACCGGGCAAAUACCAAAUUUAUUUUUGGAUCAACCAUGUCCAGGAUUCGAUUCAGCCAACAAAAAUAUAGACUUUUGUUGUACUAAAUAAAUUAUGUCACGGGCCUUGCUUUGAUGUUUAUCUUGUCAAUAAUUUCUUUUUUGAGAUUUGGAGUUUUGUUAGGUCUUUGAAAUCAAGGUUGAGCCAGGCUUUUGUGUGCUGUUAACACCGAGUUAAAUCAUACUUAAAUUACUUUAGAUGUGCAUGUAGUUGAUCAAUGUCUGUAGAUGUGAAACGUGAGUCAGGACCUAAUUACAAUAUGCUUAAUUUUACAUCACUUGGGUGAAUUAUAUGUCGAAAAUUUAUGAACUAUUGAUUGUUUGUGCUAAGCUUCUUUCA
This 1790-nucleotide unclassified non-coding RNA is filed under the name Hevea brasiliensis (rubber tree). Lineage: Eukaryota; Viridiplantae; Streptophyta; Magnoliopsida; Malpighiales; Euphorbiaceae. The record is from RNAcentral.